AACGAACGCUGGCGGCAGGCCUAACACAUGCAAGUCGAGCGGACAUCUUCGGAUGUUAGCGGCGGACGGGUGAGUAACGCGUGGGAACGUGCCCUUUGCUUCGGAAUAGCCUCGGGAAACUGGGAGUAAUACCGGAUGUACCCUUUGGGGGAAAGAUUUAUCGGCAAAGGAUCGGCCCGCGUUGGAUUAGGUAGUUGGUGGGGUAAUGGCCUACCAAGCCGACGAUCCAUAGCUGGUCUGAGAGGAUGAUCAGCCACACUGGGACUGAGACACGGCCCAGACUCCUACGGGAGGCAGCAGUGGGGAAUCUUAGACAAUGGGGGAAACCCUGAUCUAGCCAUGCCGCGUGAGCGAUGAAGGCCUUAGGGUUGUAAAGCUCUUUCACCGGGGAAGAUAAUGACGGUACCCGGAGAAGAAGCCCCGGCUAACUCCGUG
Molecule: ribosomal RNA, 435 nt
Filed under: uncultured bacterium
Lineage: Bacteria
Description: partial 16S ribosomal RNA
Rfam family: Bacterial small subunit ribosomal RNA
Source: RNAcentral